Sinocyclocheilus rhinocerous is the source of this 87-nucleotide long non-coding RNA. RefSeq lists it as uncharacterized. The record is from RefSeq and is a predicted model, not a curated record. NCBI's taxonomy places the organism in Eukaryota, Metazoa, Chordata, Actinopteri, Cypriniformes, Cyprinidae. The transcript has 3 exons.
UGUGUGUGUGUGUUGAAACCAUAGACUGUAUAAAAACAUGGACGUAGUGUCCGUGACGUCACCCGUAGACUUCCGACGAGCGUUUUG